AAUGAACGCUGGCGGCAUGCCUAACACAUGCAAGUCGAACGAAGUCUUCGGACUUAGUGGCGCACGGGUGCGUAACGCGUGGGAAUCUGCCCUUGGGUACGGAAUAACUCAGAGAAAUUUGUGCUAAUACCGUAUAAUGUCUUCGGACCAAAGAUUUAUCGCCCAAGGAUGAGCCCGCGUAGGAUUAGGUAGUUGGUGAGGUAAAAGCUCACCAAGCCGACGAUCCUUAGCUGGUCUGAGAGGAUGAUCAGCCACACUGGGACUGAGACACGGCCCAGACUCCUACGGGAGGCAGCAGUGGGGAAUAUUGGACAAUGGGCGCAAGCCUGAUCCAGCAAUGCCGCGUGAGUGAUGAAGGCCUUAGGGUUGUAAAGCUCUUUUACCCGGGAUGAUAAUGACAGUACCGGGAGAAUAAGCUCCGGCUAACUUCGUG
RNAcentral lists this ribosomal RNA (433 nucleotides) under uncultured bacterium. Its description in RNAcentral is "bacterial SSU rRNA". It matches the Rfam family "Bacterial small subunit ribosomal RNA", at positions 29 to 507 of the family's 1533-position model. The record is from RNAcentral.